This 81-nucleotide transfer RNA is filed under the name Felis catus (domestic cat). It matches the Rfam family "tRNA". Rfam says of the family: Transfer RNA (tRNA) molecules are approximately 80 nucleotides in length. Their secondary structure includes four short double-helical elements and three loops (D, anti-codon, and T loops). The record is from Rfam by way of RNAcentral. Lineage: Eukaryota; Metazoa; Chordata; Mammalia; Carnivora; Felidae.
ACCUGAGUGGCUCAGUCCGUUGAGCACCCGACUUCAGCUCAGGUCAUGAUCACACAGCAGGUUCAAGCCCCGCUUCAGGCU